Molecule: long non-coding RNA, 3070 nt
Organism: Neofelis nebulosa (Clouded leopard)
Lineage: Eukaryota; Metazoa; Chordata; Mammalia; Carnivora; Felidae
Exons: 8
Source: RefSeq, a predicted model, not a curated record
GAGAGCAAGAGAGUGCAAGCAGGGCAGGGGCAGAGAGAGGGGGACAGCAGUGAGCCCGAUGUGUGGCUUGAACUCGUGAACUGCAAGAUCAUGACCUGAGCUGAAGUCAGAUGUUCAACCAACUGAGCCACCCAGGGGUGGGAAGAGGAAAAGAAAGCUGAAAAGGAGCCAGAAAGGCAAGAGGCAAAGAGGAGCUUACAUUUCUGUGGAGGGAGACAGGUAAUCAAGAAAGAAACACAAAAGGGCAGGUGCUGACAAGUGCUCUGGAAAACAAAACAAAACCAAAACAAGGUGAGGAAGCUGGGGAAUGUGGGAUGGGGUGUUUCAUAUCAGGCCAGGUCAAGCAAAAGAUGAUAAAGCAGUAAGUGAGCAAAGGCCUGAAGGAAGUGGGAGAGUACAGAAUGUUCUGGACAGCAGGAAGCACUAAGGCAGAGUCAGGUGCGCGGUAUCAUUCACGAAACAGCAAGGAAGCCAGUGUAGCUAGAGUGGAUGGACUGAAGGGGAGGAUAAGAAUAGGGUUUGAGCAGAGAAGUGAUGUAUCUGAUAUUCACUGUAAAAGGUUGACAGUGACUAGUGUGUGGAAAAGACACUAUAGGGGGUUGAGAUGAUCCCUCCAUUCUUAGAACAAUAUUACUAUAGAUAGGAAUAAAAGUCAAACCCCACAAAUACAGGCUGGUGCUCAACUGGCUGGGUACCAAGAAUAAUAGAAGAAAAGCUAUAGGUCAGAGUUGUCUACACCCCAACCAUGAGACAGUAGUGUGGUAAAACAGGCAAUCCUGCAAUAUGUGACAUCUGACCCAUGAAGACUAGGACGCUGACUCUGUGCCACGUUUGGCCUAUACAGGGCCCCCUAGCACACAGUUGCCUUAUGAUUGCAAUGCUUUCCACCUGUCCCACAGCCCAGGCUGCACACAGGCCUGUUCUCUCCAUAAGUGUUUUCUCCCACUGUUUUCCCUUCUCUUCUGGCUGUGCCUCUAAUGCUGUCAUUCAUUCAGCAACUACCAUGUGUAAAACUUAAUGAAGAGCGCCACAGGAGAGUCUCUGAUAAGGACUUGGAGCUUGAAUCUUUUGUUAAUUGCGCCUAGAGAGCUCUGUCUGCUGUUGGCACAAAUCUCUCUUGUUAGCCCCUUCUGGUUUGCCCUCUAACUGAGGGCUUUUUCUCCACCUCUCACAGAUGCACUCUUGGAAUGUCUGCCCUGCCAGACAAAGGACUUCUCUACAGCCCAAAAUCACUGGCUUCAGUUUGGGUCAGGACUGGCAACCUAGUCUCAGUCUCAGCAGAUUCCCACGCCAUUGGAGCCUAGCAUAAGGAACAGUCCCCAGCUCGUCACAGCUUUGCUGCGCCCCCACACCUCAUCUCCCCUCUCCCUGACUGCCUCCUCCUCACCAGCGUGGGGAUUUGGCUGGAGUAGCUUGAGCUUUGAAUUUUAGAACAAAUCCAGAGAACCCAGUAGCCCAGGGGGACCUGGGAAGGGGCUAACAACACCGGAGGUCAUGUGACUGCCUUUGGCUUCUUAUUGCUCCUCAGGCUUUGCUUAGCACUGAAUUGGGGCCCCUGCCCUCCAGAGCCAAGGGGUAGGGGUGGAGGGCAGCACAACCACAAAUAAUACCACAUAAGAAACUCUAGAGCUGACCUAGGCAUACAGCCCCAUGUUUUUCUUGGCGAGCGAUCCACACCACGGAACAGGGACAUGCUGGCUGCUUAGUCCGCACUGAAGGGUGAAAUCGCCUUCAACUUCUCCGUGCCUCACAUGAUGAUCGGCCUGCACCAUCUUGACCUAUUCCAGGGUGGUUGGAAAGCUAUGAAUCAAACAACAGAUGGGACAGUGCAGGGGCACCUCCUGGUCGCUAUGGUUACAAAGAGCAGCCCUGCCAGGGAGAACCUGGAGUGUAAACAGCAGGAACCGGGUCUGCGGCUGCCAUGUCUGGAAGGAGGCCUCACACAAGGGCAAGGGAGGAGAGGUUUGGACCCCUGUAGGCUCCCCAGGCCAGAAGGAGGAACCUCUUUACCUGAAAACAAAUUUCCCAGAGAAAGAGUCAACUAGAUGUGAAUGUGCCUUUCACAUGUGCUCGUUCCCCAUUUAAUAAGGAAGUUCUGUGAGAAGAAGCAGUUGCAGCCUCGAGAGGUGAAAUUCUGCUCUGGAAAAUAAGACGGGUGAACUGCUAAGUCCAGAAUGAAGACCAGACACCAGGAAGCCUGAAGCCGAAUGUCCUGUAUGCACAUAACAAGCCAAACCUUGGAGCAGCCAGAGGCAGGAGCGAUCAGGCAGGGGACAGCCAUCCAGAACAUUCUGGAAUCACCAUCUGAGGAGCAGAGGGGAGCUGUGUGUGCAGCCAGCUGUGGUCAGACAGAGGAAAUGCAGGGUCUGGCUGCUGGCCAUUCUUACCCUCGCUCCCACCAUCAGGAUCUCUGGCCCCAUCCUGACCCCUGGUGGCUGCCCAUGGGAUGAGAGAGACAGAGCAUGAGCAUGGGAGGGGCAGAGAAAGAGGGAGACAUAGAAUCUGAAGCAGGCUCCAGGCUUUGAGCCGUCAGCACAGAGCCCAACUCGGGGCUCAAAUUCACGGACCACAAGAUCAUGACCUGAACAGAAGUCGGAUGCCCAACCAACUGAGCCACCCAGGCGCCCCUACAGUUACAUUUCCAUUGGACUGAAUGCAGUAAUGCAGGUAAAGUGCCACACACAGUGCCCAGCUCCAAGCACAGAGCUGCUCUACUGGUUGGUUCCCUUUUCUAUGACCUCAGCAUGAUGGUACAUUGUGGCAAAACAAACCAGUGCACCCUCCAAAAAAAAGCACCUCUGAUUUAAAAGAAGGGAUUAUAGGAUCUGCAGGGACAAACCAGACUGGGGCUGGAAGACUGCCUCACUCAGGGAGAUAUUGGGGGCUGGGACAGUGUGCCAAGUUCAAGGAUAGUUCUGCCAGUGACUUCUUCAGGGCUUCAUCAGCUCUACACAUUGCUUUGCAGCCUGGAAUUCUGUCCAGAGUCACUCCACCGAGCAGGCAUCAAUUCCUACCUUCCACUUACCCCUCCCACCCUUUCUCCCUAAAGAACAGGGCACAGGUCUCACCA